UCACAUCUAAGAAGGUAGAUGUACAUGAAGUGACUUGCCCACAUAGUGAACUGUGAGUUUGGUACAUGUUAGGCAUGAGGAGGAGAAGGCAAUGACAACCCACUCCAGUACUUUGCCUGGGAAAUUCCAGGGACAGCGGAGCCUGGUGGGCUGCCCUCUAUGAGGUCACACAGAGUAGGACAUGACUGAAGUGAGUUAGCAGCAGCAUCAGUAGCAGUCAUGGGGUAGGAUCUACAGACAGUGACCAAGACAGGAGAAUGAUAAACUCCGGGAGAAAGACUUCCCGAAAACAAUACAAUUAAGGUGGAAUCUGGAAGAUGAGAAGAAAUUUGCUANNCAAAGUGGAGUGGAGUCUUCUAGGAAGGAAGACCAGCUUGUGUCAAGAGUCCACUGCUAUUCCAUCUUUAAAGAGAAAAUUGUGAGGAGAUCUACAGAGACCUGGUUCCUGGGUGACAUCUUCCUGAGGCUGUAUUUCUUAGUCUUUGAUCGCAGAAAUGACAGGACUGGCCUGGCACUGUCAGUGUAAAUGCUUGAAGUGCUUCAGGAAUCAGUAAGGCCACUCCUAACAUACACUCACUCACACUUUGGGCAAUCCUGCCCAGGAUGAUGGUGAAGUGUAUUUGGUGUUCUAUACACCCUAUUCUCAGUAAAAAAUAAGUGUUUCACUCUUAAUGGUGCUGAAACAAAUGGGUGACUCUGUUUGUGUCAGGGAGUGAAGUUUGUGUCUAGAACCAAGUCUGAAUCAAAAUUGAGACGAUCCCUACUACAACUGGCUUCAAGGAACAGAGAGACUCAUUGAAAUGAUUCUGGGAAUCCAGGAUACAAGAUUCAGAACAAAUAUGAAGAUCUCAGUGACUGGAACCAAGAAAUCAUAAGUCAUCAAUUCUCUCUCACCCUUGCUAUUUCCCUUCGGUCUGCUUUGAUGGUCUUAGGCUGGCAACUAUUUUCCUUAAGGCUUCUACACCUGGUGAGGGAGUUCAAGCUACCUGCCCUAGGGAUUUAAAUCCUGAAGGCAUCUCCUAGUAAGGAAAAAUGAUUGCAGACAUCAGAGUUCAAGGGUGUUCUCUGAAUCACCCACCUCAAUUCACAUGUACAGCACUAGA
RNAcentral lists this long non-coding RNA (1103 nucleotides) under Capra hircus (goat). RNAcentral describes it as "lncRNA (ENSCHIG00010027597.1)". Lineage: Eukaryota; Metazoa; Chordata; Mammalia; Artiodactyla; Bovidae. The record is from RNAcentral.